GGCGGCCCCUCACCCUUCCGAGCCGGGACGGAAGCCCAGACCGUGCCGCCGCACCCCUCCGGGCCUGUGCCUCUAGAACCGCCUUCCGGAGGCUCGGGUCGGCACUGUGCGUCUGCCUGAGUGACUUCAGGCGCGACGUGGAAACACCUCUGGGGCUCAGUGCAGGGAAAGGUGUCACGAGCAAUGCGGGACCGUGAGUGAAGCAGGCCUUCUUUGUAGUCCUUGUCAAGCAAACACUGGCACAGUGGCUGCUAUGACAGCAACACUAAAGACUGUUUUCCCCAUCUUUUAAACUCAGCCUGCAUCUUUGCACUUUGGGAUGGCUUUGAUUUCUUUUUGGCACGAAAAUGAUCUCAACCCCCACAUCAUACUUCUGCUUACCCAUGCGCAUGCUUACCUCAGAAUUUAGGACUCUGCUGGGUUCCAGAGAAAACCUCCUCCUAGGGGAGCGGAGAACUGCUGUUCUCAUGGGCUGAGAAUUCUCACAGGAUGAGGGGGUCUUUGCUGAGGUGUCUGGAGUUGCUUCUCAGAACUUCGUGCACCACAUCUGAGUUUGAAUGUGAAGAUAGACGUAAAAAGGCGUUUUACAACAUUAGCAUUUAUAGUGUGCGACAGUGGCAUCCAGGCCAGAGGAUCAGGAAGGCCGGAUUCCAUUUCAUUUUCCAGCCUUGCGCCUCCCCUUGCCCCCAGGACACUUCUGCUGGAUUACAACAGGCCAGGCGAAAGGAAUUAGUACUCCACCUCCCAGACGCGCAGUUGCUGGCACAGGAGUUAGAAGAGUGUCAGGUGAAAAAGGAACUCCAUACAGACUGGUCUUACAGCUGCCCUAUUUCACAGAAGUGACAGAUAAUGCUGGGAACCCCCCUCCCCAACACCUUGUAACUAACGGAGUCGCUUUUCUUCCCUGGGAUGCUCUUGGAGUUAAGAAAGAUUUGUUGUAUAACCCUGGCAGCACAUGGCCAUUAGAAAAUACUUAAUUCUGUGACAAUAUGCAAAGGAAAACUGUUGAGAGGUCAGCUAGCUCUGACUGCACGUAUUUUGACUACAAGAGAAGCAGAACGAAGCGAGGCACCUCUACGCUUGAGCCUGGCAUAAUGUGAUUUGGGAAAACGUCAUCGUACUUCAAAAUGCAAAGGGGACAUUGGCUCCUGUCACAAAGCAGCAACAAAACACAUUCUCUCACUGAGUAUCUUUUUCAUUUCAGG
Molecule: long non-coding RNA, 1205 nt
Organism: Heterocephalus glaber (naked mole-rat)
Lineage: Eukaryota; Metazoa; Chordata; Mammalia; Rodentia; Bathyergidae
Source: Ensembl